This 997-nucleotide long non-coding RNA is filed under the name Monodelphis domestica (gray short-tailed opossum). Its description in RNAcentral is "lncRNA (ENSMODG00000038753.1)". Lineage: Eukaryota; Metazoa; Chordata; Mammalia; Didelphimorphia; Didelphidae. The record is from RNAcentral.
AAAUUCUCUAACACCUUUUAUUCCGUGCAAAAUCUUAUAUUUAUGUCUCUGUAUUUUCCUCUUCCUCACACUGCUAAGAAAGGGAGAGAGGAGUAGAAUUUAGAAUUUAAAUCAGUAACUAGCACAAACCAAACACUAUCCAUUCUCAGGAGACAAGAAGGGCACACGCAGAUUCAGCUACACUUGGCAGCAAAGACUAACACAAGAAAAUAAGACAAGGCAAUGUUCAGUGAAGUUAGAAAUUUCAUGAGAGAGAAUACUUUACCACAAUGACUCAGAUGCCUUCUAAACCUGAAACUUCUUUCAGUUGCUGGGAUCUUUUCAUUUUAAAGCACCCACUGCCAUAUUGCUCUCUUCCUAUUGGAAUUAUAGGUCAAUUUGUGUGAAUUUCUUGACUUUGGAGCCACAGAACAGACAGGUCCCAAUUUGGACUUCUCACUCCAAAUGAUGCUGAUUACUCAGACUGACAUCAAAAUUGGAAGGAAGAAUUAUUGGAUUCAUUAUUUUCAAGUAAAACCGGUACCACCUAUUAAAGCCAAGUAACCAUAUAUUGUAAUUUUGAGCACACAUUAUUGUGUUUCUUUUUAAAAUUUUAUCUUUUUUGUUAGUCAUUUAAUGGUAGCAUAAUUUCAAUUGCUCUGUCUAAAAUCCUACCUCCAUUUAUUGUCUUAUUUUCAGCAUUUCUACAUAUUAUAUUUUUUUCUUUUGAUUUCUCUUCUGAUGAUUGAAGCAAGGAUAAUGCUAUUAUUAGAGUUCAUAGCCAAAUAGGAUCUAAUCUAAUCUGAGGCAAUUGGUCCUUCUGGGCUCUGGGUCUAUCACCAGCUCCUUCAGAGCUCUCUUUUAUCUUGGACAUAAUUCCAAUCCAUAUAAGUGAAACUUUGCCACAACUUGCACCUCAUCAAAGUCAUACAUUGCCAGAUAAACCAUUUUCUUCUUCACCUUUAUUAUAUACCACAUCAGUACUGACAAGUUGGAGCCCAAUUUCUAUGUCCUCCAA